RNAcentral lists this ribosomal RNA (118 nucleotides) under Pteropus alecto (black flying fox). The record is from RNAcentral. Lineage: Eukaryota; Metazoa; Chordata; Mammalia; Chiroptera; Pteropodidae.
GUCUACGGUCAUGCCACCAUGAACGUGCCCAAUCUUGUCUGAUCUCGGAAGCUAAGUAGUGUCGGCCUGGUUAGUACUUGGAUGGGAGACCACCUAGGAAUACCAGGUGCUGUAGGCA